CGUGUCUAGAGGCCGGCCAGCCUGGUUGUGUUCAGUCACAAAUAUUCAUACGAACAAGACAAAGGCUCACGCCUCUCCAUACAAACACGUAUGAGGUCCACAACUGUGCUGUUUCAAAGGCACGUCCCUGCUCUGCCUGGGAGUAAAUGACCAAAAUAAGUGACUGUAGGCACGGCUGAAUAGACCGAUGAAGAUUCACACGACGACAACACACGCUGCCAAAGAAAGGUCCUCCUGGAGCAUCUUCACCAUGGACUCCAGCUUGGUGACCUUCCUCUCCAGCCCUAUGUGGCCCUCACUGUGGAUGAGAAAGAAACACAUAGCAGGACUUCCACAUACAUAGCGGAUACUCAUAUUCAAUUAUGAGUGAACACCAUACCACCCACUGGUUUACUGUUCACUCUCUACAUUCAUUCAUUGGUUUCUGCUCAUCUUGUACACACGGGUUACAUCUCUUCUGCUUCUCUACCACUGAUGCACUGUAUCCUGUAUUGCCUGUACAUUUGACACAUGCUCCACAUCUAUUCAUCCAUUUCAUUUUAUUUAUUGGUAUAUUUGGUACAUUAAUAAAACAUCCCUGUAAAUUC
This is a long non-coding RNA of Cyclopterus lumpus (lumpfish), 587 nucleotides long. RefSeq lists it as uncharacterized. The transcript has 3 exons. The record is from RefSeq and is a predicted model, not a curated record. Lineage: Eukaryota; Metazoa; Chordata; Actinopteri; Perciformes; Cyclopteridae.